Gallus gallus (chicken) is the source of this 471-nucleotide long non-coding RNA. Lineage: Eukaryota; Metazoa; Chordata; Aves; Galliformes; Phasianidae. The record is from Ensembl.
CAGGAUCCAAACUCAAUGCUCCGCUCCUCAGUUCCUCUCCACAGUAAGUGAUUCUUUUGUAUGGAAAGGCAGAAAGCUGUAUCAUCAAAAUCAAUGACAAAACUCCUGCAGCUCUCAGAGAGGCUGAAUUUCAUUCCAAAAUGAGCAGGAAGUUUGUCAAUGGAUAUAAGGCUGCUGCGAGGACACCACACCCAAUGUGUGUGGUGCUGUGCAUACUACUGAGAUGACGAAGUCUCUGCCCUCAGAUGCUUACAAGACAGAUAACACAAUGAAUUAUGACACAGGCUAAGAAGGGUCAGAGAGGAGGUGAAAGAGGAAAGGAAAUGACAGAAAGCAAAAGAAAGCAAAUUUGUUUCAUGAAAGGACCAUUAUUUACAAAGCACAGACAUCAGGUAAUUUGAUUCCCUUUGGCUGUUAUUUUGGAUUUGUUUUUCACUUUGUUUUAUUAUGUUUAAUAAUUGGGCAUGGGUG